ACGUAGGCACCUGCCCGGUAGCUCGGGAGAACAUAGUGGAAACUCAUGCUAGUACCGGAUAGGGUCUUCUCUCGCAUGAGUGGAGACGGGAAGGUGGCGCAAGCUGCCACUUACGGAUGGGCCUGCGGAGGAUACCUAGUUGGUGGGGUAACGGCCUACCAAGGCGACCAUGCGUGCCCCACCUGAGAGGGUGACCGGCCACGCUGGGACUGACACUCGGACCAAAAUCCUACGGGAAGCCCCACUGGGGAAUUUUCCACAAUGGACUAAAGUCUGAAGGAACAACUCCCCGAGAACCAUGAAGGGCUUCAGAUUGGAAAGCUCAGUUGUCAGAUACGAACAAAUACCGUACCAACAAGGCGGUACCUUGACGGGACCUGACAAGAAAGCCACCGCUAACUACGUGCCUACCGCCGCGGCAAUACCUACGUGGCAAGCGUUGUCCGGAAUUAUUGGGCGUAAAGCGCGCGCAAGCGGGUAUGUAAGUCUGGUGUUAAAGCCCAGGGCUCAACCCCGGGUCGCAUCGGAAACUGUGUAUCUUGACUGCAGAACAAGAAAGCGGUAUUCCACGUGUAACGGUGAAAUGCGUAGAGAUGUGGAGGAACACCAGUGGCGAACGCCGCUUUCUGGUCUGUACACUGACGCUGAGGCGCGAAAGCGUGGGGAGCAAACAGGAUUAGAUACCCUGGUAUUCCACGCCGUAAACCAUGAGUGCUAAGUGUUGGGGGUUUCUAUACCCUCAGUGCCGCAGCUAACGCAAUAAGCACUCCGCCUGGGGAGUACGCUCGGAAGAGUGAAACUCAAAAGAAUUGACGGGGGCCCGCACAAGCGGUGGAGCAUGUGGUUUAAAUCGAAGCAACGCGUAAAAACCUACCAGGGCAUGACAUCCCGGUGAACGUCCUAGAGAUAAGGCUUUCCUUCGGGGGCCCGGUUACAGGUGGGGGCAUGGGUGU
This 953-nucleotide ribosomal RNA is filed under the name Brevibacillus borstelensis. Its description in RNAcentral is "bacterial SSU rRNA". It matches the Rfam family "Bacterial small subunit ribosomal RNA", at positions 115 to 1052 of the family's 1533-position model. Lineage: Bacteria; Bacillati; Bacillota; Bacilli; Caryophanales; Paenibacillaceae. The record is from RNAcentral.